Long non-coding RNA from Aethina tumida (small hive beetle), 328 nucleotides. RefSeq lists it as uncharacterized. The transcript has 3 exons. NCBI's taxonomy places the organism in Eukaryota, Metazoa, Arthropoda, Insecta, Coleoptera, Nitidulidae. The record is from RefSeq and is a predicted model, not a curated record.
UCUAACGUUGCCGGCAAUUUACUCACGUCAAAUUACAACACGAUGGUAACGUCGACACCAAUCAAACGUUCAGCACAAGGAUCACAAGUACAAUUUAGUACGCGCGGACGCCCCGUAUGGUAUUGGAGUCACGAAUGUCAGCCACGAAGACUGGUGGAUGAAUUAAAGGAACUUAUUGAUGAGCAACAGAAAUUUUUCGAAGAACAGUUAAAUGCGCACGCCCUGGGAAGUCUUAUUAAUGAAAUUUAACAUAUUUAACAAGAUGGUAAUAUUGAUGUUACUUAUCCUUUAUUUAGAUGUGAAAAUCUCUCCUUUUAUGAAGAUUUUU